Molecule: long non-coding RNA, 282 nt
Filed under: Bos taurus (domestic cattle)
Lineage: Eukaryota; Metazoa; Chordata; Mammalia; Artiodactyla; Bovidae
Description: long non-coding RNA NONBTAT006230
Source: RNAcentral
UAUAUGAAAUUCCUUUGAUUUCAUAUGUAUAAAAUAUGAUUUACUAAAAUACCUAUUUCUUGGCACUUAUCAUGUAAUGAAUGAUAUAAUGACAAUAGCAAGUUUAAUAGGGAUGGAAGAGUUCCCAAUAUUUAAUGCUGAGAGUAGCAAUAUUUCUGAGAAUGUAUUUGUUUAAAUGUCAGGACAGUUUUGGGGUAAACUAAAUUCUUCAUAAAUUAACAAUAAAAAUUUGAGUCUCAUCAGAGUUAGAAACUUCAACUAUCAGCUCAGUAUUAACAUUUC